CUGGUCUGGUGCUGCUGCUGGGGCUGUCAGAGAGAGGGGGUGGGGGUCUGGGGGUGUGCGGGUCAGCGGCCGGCGCGCCCUCUAGCGGCGGAUGAGCGCAGCGCCGUUUGAGCCCUCUGACUCUCCGUACUGGAUGCUGCUGAUGAACCUGCUCCGCGCUGUUUAUCCGUAGCCCGUAGGCUCCCUCCGCGCGAGGAGAAAGGCGUUGGAUUACGAGCAGACAGGCGGGGAUGUUCGGCCCUUAGUCCCGCAGUGAGGAGCCGCUGAGCAGCAGCAUGGAGGUGUGGAGACUCCCGCAUCCGUCCUGCCCGUCCGCCGUUCAGCUCUUCAGGAGAUGAAGUAACGCCGUUCUGACCCAGAGGAAUCCGCGGCGGCUGCCCGGCAACCGAGCAUCCCCUCCCCGCCGCAGAUCAGCAGCAGACUCGGUGUUGUGUCUCCUCCAGCCCGCCGCUGCGGAUGGAGCUCUGAUUACCGGGCAGCUCCUCACUGAACCCCGGCGGGAGCAGCGCCGCUCAGCCGCGGGAUGAAGAGCAGAAACAAAGGGAUGCAGCGCUAGAGGGAGAGUCCGGGCUCGGUUCCGCGGGAAGGAAACUCCUCCAGGUAGUUCAGGACUGUCCCUUGGUGAGGCAGGGCAGGACAGGGCGAGGUGAGGAGGGGCCGCUGACCGGAUGCCCUUUGGGGCAGAAGCCGCAUGGCCUCGACCAUGAGCCGGCUGAUGCUGGGCCGGACGCUGGAGCGGAUCUGUAAGGCCGUGCUGCUGCUGUGUCUGGUGCACUUCCUCAUCAUGAUGAUCCUGUACUUCGACGUGUACAGCCAGCGCUUCGACAUCUUCAGCCGCUUCAACAACGGCCGCGGCGCCAACGCCUCCCGCGGACCCCACCACUACUACUACAACUACUCCAGACCCAACACCACCUUCCCCAGCUACCUGCCCGGCGCAGACCAGCUCCUACCCACCGCCAAGCCUGAGGCCAACCGCACACGCCCAACUCCAAAACCCAUCCCUCCCUGCCCUGAGGUGCCUCCUGGACUCGUGGGGCGUCUCCUGAUCGAGUUCAGCUCUCAGAUGACGAUGGAGAGGGUGCAGAGGGAGAACCCAAACGUGACGGAGGGGGGCAAGUACACGCCCACGGACUGUCGGCCCAAGCAGAAGGUCGCCAUCAUCAUCCCCUUCAGACACAGAGACCACCACCUGAAGUACUGGCUGCACUACCUGCACCCCAUCCUGCGCCGCCAGAAGAUCGACUACGGCAUCUACAUCAUCAACCAGCUCGGGGAGGACACGUUUAACCGGGCGAAGCUGCUGAACGUGGGCUACACGGAGGCUCUGAAGGACGCAGAGUACGACUGCUUCAUCUUCAGUGACGUGGACCUCAUCCCCAUGGAUGACCGUAACCUGUACCACUGCUAUGACCAGCCGCGCCACUUCGCCAUCGCCAUGGACAAGUUCGGCUUCAGGCUACCAUAUGCAGGAUAUUUUGGAGGAGUCUCUGGCUUAAGCAAAAAGCAGUUUCUUAAAAUCAACGGCUUCCCCAACGAGUACUGGGGCUGGGGAGGGGAGGACGACGACAUCUACAACAGGAUUACUCUGAACGGUAUGAAGGUGUCUCGGCCGGAUGUGCGGAUUGGCCGGUACAGGAUGAUAAAGCACGAGAGGGACAAGCACAAUGAGCCAAACCCCCAGAGUGGACAGUGCAGUGGGCAGUAAUGAUGGUGACCAGCGGCUUCUGGCCAGAGUCUGCCAGAAGUCACACCCACAUUUAAUGGAACAAACCCCCCUCACACACAUCCCAAAGGUCAGUGCAGCGUUUAAUUUCAAAUAAAUGUUUGUAGCAACUAUAAUACUAAUAAUAU
Molecule: long non-coding RNA, 1854 nt
Filed under: Astyanax mexicanus (Mexican tetra)
Lineage: Eukaryota; Metazoa; Chordata; Actinopteri; Characiformes; Acestrorhamphidae
Description: lncRNA (ENSAMXG00005015260.1)
Source: RNAcentral